Brassica napus (rape) is the source of this 2181-nucleotide long non-coding RNA. RefSeq lists it as uncharacterized. Lineage: Eukaryota; Viridiplantae; Streptophyta; Magnoliopsida; Brassicales; Brassicaceae. The record is from RefSeq and is a predicted model, not a curated record. The transcript has 3 exons.
CCAAAGAUUCUCUCAAAGAUGGCUUCCUCCGCUCCGGCCGUUGUUGGCCCGACAUCGUUCGACGAUCUCUGCCUGGGUCGAUCUGCUCAGUUCGUCGUGGCUCGCCUCCUGCGUUUUUGGGACUCCAGAAACAUUAAGAAGCAAGGCAAAUUCAUGGGAAUCACCUUGCUUUUCCUUGAUGAGCAGGUACUGUUCCAUUUAUUUACGAUCAAACUUUUGAGAAAGACCAACCAUUUGUGAUUCCGUUAAUUUCAUCAGUUCUGUUUUGUCACAUGUUUAUUUGUCGUUUUGUUCACAGAAUUCUGUGAUCCAUGGGUUUAUUACUGCCGCUCGCUCCGGUCACUACCAUCCAGGUUUACGAAGUGGUUCCAUCGUCAAAGUUUCACGCUUUGAGUUUGCUAGAUGCACUAAUCUGUACAAGAUCACAGACAAUCCAUUCGUGAUCCGGUUCCUCCCACAAACAACCAUUGAUGAAGUCGCUCCCAUUAUCAACCUCCAGAAAUUCAUGCUCAGGAAGUUUGAGCAUCUUCAAGCACUUGAUAACACGAACUUGGAACUCCCAGGUUUAUUUCUUAUAUAUUAUUCUCGAAAUAAUUUUAUUCGCUUUAAAAAUUGUCUUAAUUAUGGUCUCAGGCUGAGACAGUAUAUGUGUUUCACGUUGCAGAUGUUGUAGGAAUGAUUCGUUCCGUCCAAGGUUCCGAUCUUUCGGACGCUACAGUGAUGACUCGAGUUGUUGUCCGCUUCGUCAUCGAACCUAAUGUUGUGGUGUAUCUGUCCUUAUGGGAUGAAGCUGCGGCAACCUUUCGGGGACUCAUCAGCUCAGGCGAAAGAGCACAGUCUGUUAUGGUGGUCCCAACUGUGAAUCCAAAAAUCUUUGGAGGUUUGUAAAAUCUUUUAAAAAUUUUGGUUCAAACUGCUUUUGGUAAAUUCAAUUAUUUUGGGGUUUAAUUUAUGAUGCAACCCAAACACUUACUCUCUGCAGGAAAUUUGUACCCCAACUCCACCCCAGCCACGAAAUUUUAUUUCGACAUGAAUCUUCCAGCCAUCACCCAGUUCACAGCUAGGUUAUAUUCCACUUUGAUUAUAUUAAUCUUGAAUUAGUCACUUUCUAACAUAUAUGAUUCGCUUUCAUCUUAGGAGGACCAGUUGGUGAAUCUUUUCCUUGCAUUGAUACCAAGGAAUCAAUCAAGAAAAAGGAACAUGUCUCCAUUGGAGAUCUCAACAAAUUCAUCUCCAACUCUGAUGAGCAGACCCAAGAAGCAGAGUUCAUCUGCAAGGCUCGAGUGCUUGAGGUUCUCCAACAGAAUGGGUGGUCUUUUGUUUCAUGCACUGGCUGCAGCAGAAAGUUAGAUCAAUCAAGCAAUUCUCUACGUUGCAACCGUUGUGUUAAUGCCAACGUCACAGGUGUUAUAAAGUGAGCAUUUUAACAGUUUAGUAUCAGAAUCAUUGUUUCUUGGAGACCACUUCUUUCCAUUGUGCUCACUAAAUCCGUUUUUUUUUCAGGUACCGUGUUGAAUUGUCCGUUGAUGAUGGGAAUGACAAUGCCACUUUUGUGGUUUUAGACAGAGAGAUGCUUAAUCUCAUAAAGAAAGAUGCCGCAACUCUAACUGUCAAAGAGGUUUGUUUACAAAAAACAUAAAAAUUAUACAAAGCAUAGCACUGCAUUGUGAAGUUACAAAAUGUUUUCACUUAUUUCAGAUGAAUGGUGGUGGGGGCGAGCAGCUCCCAUAGUGUCUAGAAGAACUUGGUGGAAAAGAAUUUGUGUUCCAAAUACGUGUUACCCCGUUCAAUUUCACCCCAAACCACCGCAAUUUCACUGUUUGUGGAAUAAGUGACCACAUUGAACCUGAGGUAUUAUAUAUAUUAUUCCAUUAAAUUUUACAUUAACUGACGCAUUAUAAUACAUGUUAAUUCGUUAACCGGACUUUCAACACCAACGAAGCUUUAAUUGUUGGUGGCGAGAGUGGCGAAACAUCUUCGUCCGCCGGUACCUUGGUUGAAGGUGAAGCGUAUGAUCCAAAUCCAACCGGUGGUCAGGUGAAGGAUGGUAGCCGCAAACGUCCCCGUGAGUGAAGCUACUAAGCUGUGAUCCGUCAACCCAACUCUGCUCCCGUUUUUUAAUUAUCAGUACCUUUAAUUACUAUGCAUUUCUUUUUUUUUUUUGGACUUUCCAGUAUUUUC